AUUUUCCCCUAUAUGUCAGUCUAGGUAGUGCUUUAUGGUCCAUAAGCUAAAUAGGCGGUGAGACUUGUGUUCUUGAACAGCGAAGUUGGCCCAGUUGGGCAGGGCUCCGUGUGACGGCUCCGCUCUCCACUAGAUGGUGCUGCUAGCCUACUGGGGUGGAGUUUUGCGGGGCUCCUAGGUGCGCAUGUGCAUGCGUGGGAAUGGUGAAAAUGGCGCCCCCAGCUACCCAGUCUGUUCUCCCGAUCAGCAAUCGUGUACCCAUCCUUUGUCUUCAGCUUUCAUCCACUCCCUGCUUUUUCACUCUCUGUGACCAGGCCCCAGGCAGUACCUCUCUCCUGAGUUUUGUCUCAGAUGCGGCUGCUUUUCCCAGCCCCUUACUUCUGAAGGACUGCGGCUUUGACCCGUUCUGCCCCUCUGCGGGAGGGUCUCACCAAGCAAUGGCCGAAUGAGCAAUGGCUGAAUGUCGGCUGCACCCAGGAACGCUUGCUGGACACUGCUGCUGCCAGUGCCCUGAGACUGCGGCCAGGUGCCAGCCCGCCCCAGAAAAAGUUCGCCAGACAGUGUAACAGCAGCGUUUCAGGGAUUAUGGAAGAUCACAACACACAUUUGGCACCAGGCUUCACCCUUAACGACCUUGUUCCAGCACCAGUGAAUGUGGCUGCCUUCCGGGGUCUGCUGGGACCAGGUGGCUUCAACAGUCUCUACCAAAUGUCCUUCCAGCAGUGGAACCGCUUUCCCCGUGUGGCCCAAGAACCUCCCAGAUCCCACUCUGUUCCUGGGGAUUCGCCCUUCCCACCAGAGCACCGCCAGAGUACGCAGUAGGGAAGGAGUGACAGAUGUGAACUUUGGAGAGGUGGCAUAACCAGAACUAUGCAGAACAAGCCGUAGCCUGCCUUUUUUCUCAUUGGGCAUCAUUAGCCUUUCCCCAUUUUCAAGCCACCAACUUGCAACUGAGGAGGCCCUGCACCUGGCUGCCACUGUUGUCACAGCUACAAUGGCACCUGAUCCAGGAUAUGGAAAAUUUUAAGGAAGAUAUCUAUUGGAGCUCAAGAAUAUGUGGAAUUCUGUUACUGCCUAUGCCAACAAGGCGUUAUUCACUCACCUCAGUGAUGGUCUGCCCAGUAAUAUUUCAUCUUUAGAAACUUUUGGAGACCUUCCCUUCCUGAAUCAUUCCCAUUUUUAAUCAUAUGAAUAGAUAAGAAACCAUGUUGCAAAAGUCCUAUUAUACAAUUUCACCAUUGGUAUACAACAAAUAUGCACUACGUUUCUGUUUUCUUUCAACAAAAAUAAAAAUAAUUAACCAUGAAUGUAA
Long non-coding RNA from Neofelis nebulosa (Clouded leopard), 1312 nucleotides. RefSeq lists it as uncharacterized. NCBI's taxonomy places the organism in Eukaryota, Metazoa, Chordata, Mammalia, Carnivora, Felidae. The record is from RefSeq and is a predicted model, not a curated record. The transcript is spliced from 3 exons.